Molecule: long non-coding RNA, 336 nt
Organism: Pogoniulus pusillus (Red-fronted tinkerbird)
Lineage: Eukaryota; Metazoa; Chordata; Aves; Piciformes; Lybiidae
Exons: 3
Source: RefSeq, a predicted model, not a curated record
UGGCCUCGCCGUGUUGAGUUUCCAAAGCAGAGAAGCAAAACUUGGAUUCCAGUCAGGUGCUGCAGCUGGUCGGAGCCAGCAGAGGGGAGGCGAGAGCAGAGAUUCUGCUUUCUCCCACUUUGCACAUUUCAGGCUGUUACUGGGAGACUUGGAUGCUUUCCCUUGAGCACCUUGACUGCAGAGUACCACUGGGAAAGAUGGACAUGACUUCAGCGAGGGCAAACUGUCCUGCUUGUAAAAGACUGUGGGAGCAAGUGAGCAGAGCCUGUCCACUGUCUGCAGCCAGGGAAAGAAACAAUGGCAGGGGCUUUACUAUGGAUGAAUAGUAUGUAGCUG